This 208-nucleotide ribosomal RNA is filed under the name uncultured bacterium. Its description in RNAcentral is "partial 16S ribosomal RNA". It matches the Rfam family "Bacterial small subunit ribosomal RNA", at positions 1293 to 1500 of the family's 1533-position model. The record is from RNAcentral.
UCGGAUUGCAGGCUGCAACCCGCCUGCAUGAAGUUGGAAUCGCUAGUAAUCGCGGAUCAGCAUGCCGCGGUGAAUACGUUCCCGGGCCUUGUACACACCGCCCGUCACACCAUGAGAGUCGGUAACACCCGAAGCCUGUAGUCUAACCGCAAGGAGGACGCAGUCGAAGGUGGGAUUGAUGACUGGGGUGAAGUCGUAACAAGGUAAC